This is a long non-coding RNA of Octopus bimaculoides (California two-spot octopus), 848 nucleotides long. RefSeq lists it as uncharacterized. The record is from RefSeq and is a predicted model, not a curated record. NCBI's taxonomy places the organism in Eukaryota, Metazoa, Mollusca, Cephalopoda, Octopoda, Octopodidae.
UAUGGAUAUAAAUUUUAUUUCAUCUUUAUAUUUUAAACCCUCUCUUCCACUUAUUACAGUGUAUGCCGGGUGUGCAGUGACGAAAUCAAGUUAGUAGCUUGGUGAGCUUAGUUUUACUUCGCUUUAAUUUCAAACACAAACAACCAUGUGGGAGUUUCUACGCGGUCGCUCGACCUGUUAGAAGUAGUAGCCAAAUUUCUUUCAAAUCACUAGAACACGCCAAAAUAAUGUAGUCUUACAUUGCUAUAAAAAGACGUGAUGACCAUGGCUGGAAUGCCUUAAAUUAUGUCUUUUUGAUCAGAGCUGACCAAUGACUAAAAACAACAAAAAUACACAUACAUCCACGAACUUUAAACACCAACGUAUAUCCAUACUCACACAUACCAACACAAAUAAGAAUGUAUGCGGCCAGUAAUUUUGAAGAGAUGGAAGUAGGUGAUAUCAGAGAUCCUCGUACUUGACUGGUACUUUAUUUUAUCGGUCCCGAAAGAAUGAAAGGCAAAGUGAGACUCGGUAGGAUUUGAUCUGAAAGUCUGAAGAAAUGCUACAAAAGUUUUUUCUCCGACGCUCUAACGUCAAUCUAUAAUCCUAAAAAUGUUAACAAUAAUUGUUUUCAAUCUAAGCACAAUGCCAGCAGUUUUGAGGGAAUUGGAUUCGUCGAUACAUUAGUCAGAACUUAACUGGUACUUUAUUUUAUAGCCCUCGAAACAAUGAAAGGUAAAGUUGACCUUAGCGGGAAGUGAACGUAAAGAUUCAGAAGAAAUACUGUAAAGUAUUUUGUCCAUUACCAAUCCAGUGGCUUAUUAUAAUAAAAAUAUGGAUAAAUAAAAAAUAAUAAAAAUGGAAAA